This 253-nucleotide ribosomal RNA is filed under the name uncultured bacterium. Its description in RNAcentral is "partial 16S ribosomal RNA". It matches the Rfam family "Bacterial small subunit ribosomal RNA", at positions 524 to 776 of the family's 1533-position model. The record is from RNAcentral.
UACGGAGAGUGCAAGCAUUAAUCGGAAUUAUUGGGCGUAAAGGGCGCGUAGGCGGGAGAAUAAGUCAGAUGUGAAAUUCCAAAGCUCAACUUUGGAGCUGCAUUUGAAACUAUAAUUCUAGAGGAUUGACGGGGAAAACGGAAUUCCACGUGUAGCGGUGAAAUGCGUAGAUAUGUGGAAGAACACCUGUGGCGAAAGCGGUUUUCUAGUUAAUACCUGACGCUGAGGCGCGAGAGCAAGGGGAGCAAACAGG